This 85-nucleotide transfer RNA is filed under the name Chloroflexota bacterium. Its description in RNAcentral is "Chloroflexi bacterium tRNA-Tyr". It matches the Rfam family "tRNA". From Rfam's summary of the family: Transfer RNA (tRNA) molecules are approximately 80 nucleotides in length. Their secondary structure includes four short double-helical elements and three loops (D, anti-codon, and T loops). The record is from RNAcentral. RNAcentral also lists the same sequence under 1 other name. Lineage: Bacteria; Bacillati; Chloroflexota.
GGUAGGGUGGCCGAGUGGUUAAUGGCAACGGUCUGUAAAACCGUCGUCCGAAAGGACUACGCUGGUUCGAAUCCAGCCCCUACCA